This 252-nucleotide ribosomal RNA is filed under the name uncultured bacterium. RNAcentral's name for it is "partial 16S ribosomal RNA". It matches the Rfam family "Bacterial small subunit ribosomal RNA", at positions 524 to 776 of the family's 1533-position model. The record is from RNAcentral.
UACGAAGGGGUGCACGUUGUCGUGAAUUAUUGGGCGUAAAGGGCGUGUAGGCGGGUAGAUAAGUCGGGCGUGAAAUCCCUAGGCUCAACCUAGGAACUGCACUCGAAACUGUUUAUCUUGAGUGCCGGAGAGGAAAGCGGAAUUCCUGGUGUAGCGGUGAAAUGCGCAGAUAUCAGGAAGAACACCCGUGGCGAAGGCGGCUCUCUGGGACGGUACUGACGCUGAGACGCGAAAGCGUGGGGAGCGAACAGG